GGCUGACCCGACCCAAAAAAUGAGUAUUAUACUCCCUCAUUUAUACACAGAAGAACUGAGGGCGUCGGCAAGUAUGGUGGAUGCAAAUAAAAGGACGGAGCAUUGAAUGCUCAUCCUUUUUGCCCAAUUUUUCGCUCAUUUUGUAUCCAAACGGUACAAUCCAUGUUUAUUACUUUAUUUUUAUCUAUUUUACAAGCUGUUAAGGUGGAAUGAACCGUUGAUUUUAUGAAUCUUUCGAUCUGGACCGUAUAGUUGUGUUCUAAGUUAAAAAAUGGUAAUUUUUGGGGAGUACCACAUCAGUAGUUUUGCUUUUAGUGUUCCUUUGGGGGUUCUAUAAAUAGAAACCCCCAUUCACGAGUAAAAGAGGUUAAAAAAAAGGGGCGGCAGAUUGAAAACUUGAGAUUUGAACCAAAAAUUCAAACUUAAAGUUGCUAAGUAUAAUUUUUAGGGCUUUAAACUCAGAUUUGAAGCAUUUCUAGUUCUAAUUUUUUUUUUUUUUGCUUUGUCUUUGGUGUUGUGGCUCGAGUUUGGAAGCAAGAGGUUUUUCUUUCAAGUCCAUUCUUGACUCGGUUGUGCCCAAAAAAGGGAGACAGAGAUUGUGAGAUGGUAAUGUUUAAUCUCUUGUGCUUUAUCAAAGAUUUGUGACAAUAAAGAUUUAUGGAACAUAAACAUCAACUUCCUAUGGGGUUUCAUCUCCAAUUACUCAACAUUAGCAGCAGGGGAUGUUUUUUUAAUUUUUUGGAUAUCUUAUAGUAUAUAAUUUUGUUUCAAUAAAGUAUGAACCGGUAAUAUGAUGUGAGUGGAAGUAUUGCUUCCUUUUACUGUAAUCCUGUUAAAUGCAUGAAACAUGUAUGAAAAUAUUAUUGGUGUUGA
Molecule: long non-coding RNA, 873 nt
Organism: Lycium barbarum (goji berry)
Lineage: Eukaryota; Viridiplantae; Streptophyta; Magnoliopsida; Solanales; Solanaceae
Exons: 2
Source: RefSeq, a predicted model, not a curated record